This 439-nucleotide ribosomal RNA is filed under the name uncultured bacterium. Its description in RNAcentral is "partial 16S ribosomal RNA". It matches the Rfam family "Bacterial small subunit ribosomal RNA", at positions 338 to 795 of the family's 1533-position model. The record is from RNAcentral.
CCUACGGGAGGCUGCAGUGGGGAAUAUUGCACAAUGGAGGAAACUCUGAUGCAGCGACGCCGCGUGAAGGAAGACGGUCUUCGGAUUGUAAACCUCUGUCUUUGGGGAAGAAAAUAACGGUGCUCAAAGAGGAAGCUGCGGCAAACUACGAGCCAGCAGCAGCGGUGAUAAGUAGGGAGCGACAGUUGUCCGGAAUUACUGGGUGAAAAGGGGGCGUAGGGGGGCGAGAAAGGUGAAGGGUAAAUCUACCGGCUAAACUGGUAGCUGCGUGCAAAACGACUUGUCUUGAGUGAAGUAGAGGCAGGCGGAAUUCCUAGUGUAGCGGUGAAAUGCGUAGAUAUUAGGAAGAACACCAGUGGCGAAGGCGGCCUGCUGGGCUUUAACUGACGCUGAGGCUCGAAAGCGUGGGGAGCAAACAGGAUUAGAUACCCCUGUAGUC